AGAAUCAACGCUGGCGGCGUGCCUAACACAUGCAAGUCGAACGAGAAAGUGGUAGCAAUACCAUGAGUAAAGUGGCGCACGGGUGAGUAACACGUGACUAACCUACCCUUGAGUGGGGGAUAACUGAGGGAAACCUUAGCUAAUACCGCAUAAUACCCAUGGGUCAAAGGAGCAAUUCGCUCGAGGAGGGGGUCGCGGCCGAUUAGUUAGUUGGCGGGGUAAUGGCCCACCAAGACGAUGAUCGGUAUCCGGCCUGAGAGGGCGCACGGACACACUGGAACUGAAACACGGUCCAGACUCCUACGGGAGGCAGCAGUGGGGAAUUUGCGCAAUGGGGGAAACCCUGACGCAGCAACGCCGCGUGGAGGAUGAAGUCCUUCGGGACGUAAACUCCUUUCGAUCGGACGAUUAUGACGGUACCGGAAGAAGAAGCCCGGCUAACUUCGCGCCAGCAGCCGC
RNAcentral lists this ribosomal RNA (459 nucleotides) under uncultured bacterium. RNAcentral describes it as "SSU rRNA". It matches the Rfam family "Bacterial small subunit ribosomal RNA", at positions 26 to 518 of the family's 1533-position model. The record is from RNAcentral.